AACAACGGAUCUCUUGGUUCUGGCAUCGAUGAAGAACGCAGCGAAAUGCGAUAAGUAAUGUGAAUUGCAGAAUUCCGUGAAUCAUCGAAUUUUUGAACGCAUAUUGCGCCCUCUGGUAUUCCGGAGGGCAUGCCUGUCCGAGCGUCAUUACUAUCUUCAAGCGCAGCUUGUGUGUUGAGCAUCUGUUCUUUAAUGGACAUGCUUGAAAUGCAGUGGCAAUGCAGGCUUUGGUAGCCCAAGCGUUAUAGGGCUUUGUCACACGCUUUGUUGGCUCCAGUCGGCAUUUAGGCCCAUAACCUUAAAACCUAAAACUGACCUCGGAUCAGGCAAGAAUACCCGCUGAACUUAAGCAUAUCAAUAAGCGGAGGA
This 369-nucleotide ribosomal RNA is filed under the name uncultured fungus. RNAcentral's name for it is "eukaryotic LSU rRNA". The stretch from base 1 to 147 matches the Rfam family "5.8S ribosomal RNA". Lineage: Eukaryota; Fungi. The record is from RNAcentral.